This 111-nucleotide small nuclear RNA is filed under the name Meriones unguiculatus (Mongolian gerbil). The record is from RNAcentral. Lineage: Eukaryota; Metazoa; Chordata; Mammalia; Rodentia; Muridae.
UGGCUUCCUUCACCAGCAGGUGCAUGAAAAUUGAGGCAGCACAAAGAAGAUUAGCAUAGACCCAGUGCAAGAAUGACACACGAGAUCAUGAAUGUAGAAUAAAAAGGUAUU